UCUCCUUCUCGCUGCACUGCUUCCCCAAUCUUCUUCCUGGUGAUCAAGGUAUCAAAAUCGAAACAGGUACUUUCGCAGAAGUAUAAUCUUUUCACGUACCUAUAAUCGUUUUGUUUUCACAGUUCCUUCAAUUGCAUUUUCAUUUACAAAAGACUUGUUAACUUAUGCUUCAUAUGCAAAAAUGAAUUGGGUGGUGGCUACGACCCUAUCAUUGUUGUUUUUAACUUUUCAUUAUAUGGUUUGGAAAUAGCAGGUGUGUUGUGAAAGAUGACUUGCAUUGUUAGGGCUGCAUUGAGAUCCAAUUGCAGUUCAAGUGUUUGUGCAUUUGUUCAGAGAAGUUUUGGCCUCCCUGUGAGGUGUUUCUCCACUGAAGCAGAACAGCCACCUCUGAAUUCAACUACCCCUCUUCCAUUCUUGGACGUUGAUCAUUCUGGUACCACCCUAUUUAUGCAUUUAUCCUCCCAUUUCUAUCGCUCUUAGACUUGCUUUAGCUUUUACGAAAAAACUGUUCUACCGCAGCUCGAGGUUAUAAAUUCCUUGACAUUACAGGAAAAUGCGGACAAAAGUGGCUGAUGCAGCCACAAAAAUGUCAGAGACUCCAAAAACCUUGACAUUGUGGCCAAAAUUGUGGUCACAGUUGUCGACUAAUAUCUAAAACCUUGUUGCUGCUGUUACUUUUAGGACUCGCUCGGUGGCUAGCAUAUGAUAUAAUCGGAUAAUUAAACUAUAAAACAAUAGCGGUUCUAAUGAGUUGUUUGGUUUUGGGGAUAAUUAUUUGUACCAUAGCAAGUAUCACUAGCACUACAUGGUCACUACUACCAUUAGUGUCACUAAAUCUUUCAUCAUCAAUGUCACCCUUGUUGUCAUAACAGACAUUACUCUCACCAUUAUUGCUAUCAGUCACUAUCAUCGAUGUUGUUAGGAAUUCAAGGUGACUUCAAGUCCCACAUUGAAUCAAAAUGAGUAAGAUGAUGACUAGUAUAUAAAUAGAAGAACCCAUAAACCUAUUGCCUUAAUGUUUUGUGUCAGAAGUGGUGUCUUUGUCUCAUAUAUGACCUUAUUCACGACUCAUUGGUGAUGAAUCUUCCAACGUCUUCCCUCAGAAAAACCUCACAGUUGUCACCAUCAUUUCUUUAUUAUACUUUCAUCAUUGUUACUAUUGUGAUUAUCACUUGCAUCUUUCUCAUCGUGCUUACCAUUUGCUACCAUCUCAUUAUUGAUGUUGUAUUGUAACUAUUUGUAGGAGUAGAAAGGGUGAUAAUUUACUUUAAAUUAAGAGACUUGUGCAAUAUUUGUAACAAUAAACAAAAGAUUUAAUAUAUUAAGUAUGUUAAUAUAUUAAUUUAGUUCUUUUGUUUUAUAAAAUUAUCAAAUUAGAGAUUGUUUGUUAGAAAGAAAAUUUGUAAGGAAAGAAAAAAGUGGGCUUAUCAUUCAUUUCUAAGUAAUAGUGAUUUAUUCAAAUGAGGAACGCCAUGUUAGAUUAUCUUGUAACCUUCUAAUUAUUGUAUAUAUAGUUCUUUAAAGUUUAUUUGUGUCUUACAUGAGGCCCAUGGUAAGCUUUACAAGGGGGAGAGGAGAUAAGAGUGAGAAAGGAGGAGUGCAUCCCUUUCUCACUAAUUGUUAAUUUCAAAUAGGUUAAUGUAUAUUUUUCAAUUAAUUGGGAUGCUAGGAAAAAUCUUCCUUCUCCAUGUCCUCAUCAUCAUUAUUGUCAUUGUUUUAAGUUUUUGCUCAAUCCUCAUGUCUAUUCAUGUGUUCUAACAUUCAAAAGCCAAAUAGUUUUCAGAUUUGACAAUGUGAAAAUAGUAAAUGCAUGAGAAUAUAGAAAUUUGACAUACAGUAUAUAUCAUUGAUGCUAGUGACUAUAUUUUUGUAUACGUUUGGAUUUUGAAAAUAAGAUGUUAGGUUUCUAACCAAUUCACUGCUAGCCAUGUUAUUUAAAUAAUACCUUUCAACACUUUACAGUUCUUUUAUUUUAAAUAAUUUCCAUCCUAGGUAAUGACUGUUUUCCUUUCUCUUUCUUUCUUUAGGAGUGACAUAUGGUAGGCUGCUUGGUAUCCGUAAACAUGCACUGAAAACAGAUAUCAUCAACUUCCUUGAAGGUUGUAAUUUGACUCUGGAGGAUGUUAAAUUUGAUUACAACCGUAGCCUUAUACCAGUUUCAACGUAAUGUAUUCCAUCUUUUGUCUUGCUUUUGGGGUAUUGUGAAAGUUAUUUUUGUCAUAUAAUCAGUGCAUUUUCAUGCCUAUGACAGGGAAUUGCAUUUUCUUUUCUUUUUCUUUUACUCUAAAUGAUGUUUCCGAAAACUAAAGAGAAAGUUCAAUUUAAUUAUAUACUUGUUUGUAACAUGUCGUGCUCUCAGAAUUUGGACUUUCAAGCCCUAAAAUCCUAUAAAACAACCAACUUGUCAGGAGAGGAUUGUCCAAUAUAUAUAUAUAUAUAUAUAUAUAUAUAUAUAUAUAUAUAUAUAUAUAUAUUAUAUAGUUCUAGUUAAGUCAUAUUUUUAGUCACUGAAACUAAACACCAUAAAAAACACCACUUUGAACUGUAAUUAAGGUGCCGUUCAAAAUAUGGAGUGCUAGAUUUUGUCAUACUCGUCUUGUUAUAUGAACCCAUGUAUUUCAUUAAAGACAAGUAGAAAUAAUCCCAAUUGCUGAGGUAAAAUCAGAAUACAGGAAAAGUGAAUGGAUAAAGAGUAGCCUUUUUGAGGGUGUGCCAGCCUUCCUUUACAAUCCUUAUCCAAUUAUUGCCUACCUAUUUCUUCCUUCUUCCCUUUUAUUCUAACCAAUUUACUUAUGUUUUUCUUCCUCAAUUGCUACAAUUAGCAUUUCAUUAUUACCUCGGUUCAUCCUCAUGACUCUCCGUAAUCAUCUAGCAUAGCUAACAUCCUGAAGUGGAUUAUCAUUGUGUUUUCUAAAUGGGCCUCAUCUUAGAUUCAAUACUUGAAAUUAUCAUUUAAAGGUUUUGGGUAUAAUCAGGUUAUUGCAAUUCCCUUCUCGUGAUUCCUAUGACAAUGCUAUAAGGGUGAUUGUAAGGAAGGGUCGCCUCUACAAAUUGGAUAGGGUAUGCUGCUCUGCUCACAUGUCUUUUUUCUAAAAUCAUUUUCUUUUUUAUAUUUGUUUAUAAUUGGAAACUGUUUGAUAUUUUUUCCUUUUUCUAAUAUCAGGCUGAUCGAUCCCAAUGGGACAUAGUAAAGCCAUAUGAUGGAAAAACUGUCAGUACAGAUUCUUACCUAUCUUUGCUUAUCUUGUUUUUUGAAUACUAAUUAUUUUUUGAUGUUUGUAAUAUAUUUUAACUGUCCAAAUGCUGAAAUUGUUAGAUGUUGUGUUUUGAAAAUUUUGAUUGAGUAAAAUAGAGAGCAUGAUGUAAGACAGUUUUUUCCCAUAACCAUAAGGUUCUCUUAUUGUUCGAUUUUUAAGUUGUGAGUAAAUCACUCCAAAUUGGAGGUAAAUUCUUAAAAGUUUUAAUCUUUUAUGUAAGACUACGUCUUUAUUCUUUGUUAAAUUUAGAACAUUUGUUCAUUUUGUUGACUUCUAUAAUUAAGGAAUGUUAAUUGAGCACAUUUUCAAGAAUUCCUUGAAAUUAAAGUACCAAGGAUAAUGGAAAAGGAUCCGAGAAAUGUAAUUCUGUUGUAUGAGGAAAAACAUGAGAAUAAAAAUUAUUCAUGAAUGUCUAAAAAUCUGAAGCUUGAACCGUCUCAAACAAAAAAUUUCUUCCCUUAAGAUUUUGAAAGUUUAGGGUGUUGUUAUAGUCAUGAUCCCAUCCAGGUUGGCAUCCUAUGUUAUAUCAAUUAUUUGCAGCUUACCAAAAAGGUAUAAAAAAAAAGGAAAGAAAUACAAAAUAGUAGGGGGACUAUACCAAAACCUACUCAAGAACCAAAUCUAUAAUAAGGUUGAGAACAACUAUUUCUUGAUAAAUCAUAUCUAAGAAAAUCCAAAAUGUCAUUAUACCAGUGAUUAUAUCUUUGAAUUGCACCGAAGCAUGCAAGUUUAUCAGCAAUCUGGUUUAGUUUGGAAAUUACAUUGGGCUCUAUGGCCUGAAGCAAUCACUUUGAGCUUGGUUGGGUAAAUUAAUUUUGAUUUUGUUGAUUUUUGGACUGGAAUGGAGUGAGGCAAAUCAUUUAGUGUUUACUGUCAUACUCAUCAUGGGAAGUGUGUUUAUCUUAUGCUCUUUGUUGAUGCUAUUGUUAUUACAUGGAUAGAUAUCACUAGAAUUGCUCAAUUAAAACAACAUUUAUUGUGCAUCUUUAAUACCAAAGAUUUGGACUAACUAAAAUAUUUUUUAUUAUUGAAGUGACACAGUCAAGAGGUGUUAUCGUUUCACAAAGAAAAUAUGCUCUUGGUAUUUUGCAGGAUACAAACUUAGCAAAUUGUAGGCCCAUUGAUAGUCCUAUGGACUCAAACUCUAAUGUUAAUGAGAAACCACUAUGAAAUUUUCUCAAACCUAGAGAGAUAUAGGAUGUUGGUGGAAAAACUCAUUUAUAUCACAAUGAUAAGAGCAGAUCUUUCUUAUCCAUUGUGAGUUAUGAGUCAAUUUAUGCAUAACCCUCACAUAACAUUGAUUACUAGAAUAUUGUGAUUCACAUUCUCAUAUAUGCAUAAGGGAUCCCACGAUAGGGAUUGUUGUAUGAGAACAAGGCAGUGUUAUCAAAUUUUGGCCAUGGCGAUGCUAUGGCGGAAACCGGUAAUAGUUUCCCAACCUGCAGCCACAAUAAGGUACUGGCGAAGCAAAUUUUCUGUGGUGGUCUUGUGGCUGCUUAGCGUGCGGUGGUGGAAAAAGCAGGCUGGAGAUAGAAGAAGACAACUAAUUCCAUCAAUUUACCAAUUAACAACUAAUUCCUAAUUUGGUUCCUUCUAUCCUGCACCCAUUAUAUCCUAUCAAAUACACUGAUUUUCCUUUAUCUUUUUUGUUUAAGUAAAUGAAUACGAAGAUUCUAAAUAUAUUUUUCUUUUAAUUACUAUAAAGAUAUUAAAAAUAUUUUUAUACUAAUAAUCCUUUAUUUACCACAAGUUACGACAUCAAAUUUAUUCAGUUUAUUUAUGCAUGACUUAUUGAAUGCAUUAUGAUCGCUUGAAUUCUCAGUAUGGAAGAAGUACCAAGAUUGUGGUGCGAAUUCCAUCAAGAUUUGGUAUUUAGUGUUGUACUUCCAUUUACCACUGUUGUGUGAUAUGCUGGCUGAGACUGAACUUAUAUUUAGAAUAACUUUUUAAACUGAAGGAUACUAGUUGAAGUGUUAUAAUUUUUGUUUCAUGCAAACAUUACUAUGGAAAUAGCACAUUUACCUAACAGUGUCUAAUUUCUUUUUUUUAAGAUUUUGAUUCAAGGAAUGCCUCGAACUGCUAAUUUUGAAGAUGUAGUGCGAACCCUGUCUGGUUGUGAAUAUGAUUCCAACUCCAUCAACUUGUUUUUGAGGUAAACAUCAAAUACACUUCAAAUUUUAUAUUUUGUUUUAGAGUUAAACCUGUUUUUAGUCAUUAUAAAUAGGGCAGUUUUUAGUUUGGUUAAGAAUGUGUGUCUAAACUUCUUCAUACGUAUAGGAGAAGAUAAAAUUAAUAUAAGUGAGAAAACUUCUACUAAUUACUACUUUACGCUUUAGUUAAAAAUCUUAUUUUUGAGAAACUAACGAGAGAACCCUAAAUGCAUAAAUCAAUUUUAGUUUAUGGAGACGUUUAGUGCAUUUCUUAUUUUCUUCUCUACAAUUGCUUUUAGUCACCUUAAUGGAAAUGUAUCAUGUGUGAUCCCCAUUUUCAAAGGAGACCCAAAAGAGAAAAACUUCUGUGGUGGACAAGGAUCACACUUGACACAUUUUUCGUAAGCUAAUGGAUCAGAUGCGGUCGUUUUAGUUUUAGGGUCUCAAGGUGAACAGUUCUGCAUUGAUAAGGACUAAAUUAGUGUUUAAACCCUCUCAUGUAUUCUUAGAAAGAAAUGGUUGGAAUACACUAUUAACAUUCUGAAAACACACUCAUUUAUUGAAAUUUACUGAAAAUCACAAAUGUUGGCAGGUCUCACUUUAUCUAAGGAUCUCUCUCAAUUUUGUACUUUAAUAAAUUCUAUCUUUGUUCCCAACCCUCCUCUCCUCCGGAACCACAUUCUCGGGAACAUUAUUCCCGAAAAAUCCUAGUAGUUUAUAAAAGAAAUAGAGUUUAUUUAAUUGAACAAAAAGGGAUGAAGUGAGGAGGUAGGUAAUUGUUGUAGAAAGUAACUUCUAUUUUAAUGGGAAUACAAAAUACUUAGGUAAUGGAAUAAGGAGUAACACAAAAGUGUAAUUUAUAUUCCUUUGCAAGAACCAUUCCUGAGAAUGUGUUUACAAAACUGUCUCAAACAUGAGAAUAUCAUAUUCUCAAGUUCACUUUCUCGAUGCCUUGAAACAAACGGCUGCUUGGAUUAUAUUCUCAAAAUGGUAAUUAUUUUCUUACUUUCAGGCGAGGAGAAGAGUGGGCUGCAGAACCUAUUAAAUUGGCCACAGUGCGUUUCCAUUCAAGGACUCAAGCAAUGAAUGCAUUCAUCGCAAAAAAUGGAACCUUUUGCCAAAACAGUCGCAUUUCGGUACAAGUUUUGCAGUAAUUUAUGCCCCUUACUGGUGCUAGUAUUAUAUUACUACUACUUUAACAGAGGCUAGAGUAUUUAACUAGUUUUACUGGUGCUAGUAUUAUAUUACUAUUACUUUAACAGAGCCUAGAGUAUUUAACUAGUUUUUUUCAUUUCAUGGUCAUUUGGGAUUUUCAUAAUGUCUCUGGUUUAAGGUGAUGCAAGGAAAUGUUAAAAGUGUGGUAAAAUGUCUACCUUGCGUAGUAACACUUGACAUUAGUUGAUUGGUUAGUGAAGAGGUUGGUUCUUCUUUAUAUUGAAAUGUGUUUUUAUGUACCCAAUUAUUCAACGUUUUCCAAUGACAUGAAAUCGUGGUGUUGAUUCUAUGAGAAUUUGACUUUUCAAAUUCUAUAUAUCAGUGUGUCUUGGUAUUUGCAUGCUGAUAUAAAACUAGCAACUUUCCAGUUAUUAAUUAUACGUAAGUUUGCGUAGGCUAGUUCUUUGAAAAAAUAUGUGUGGAUAUUUUGUUAGAAAGUUAUGUAAAUAUGUUAGCAAACACAUAAAUGUGCAGCAGAAAUUAUUGCCAGUCAUGAAUUUGGUUAAGAAUGUGAUGAAGUUUCCAGAGAGGAAGAGUUAAAUUCAAAAAGGAAUAUUGAAGAAACAACUUAUUUCCAGAAAGAAAUAUUAGACACCCGUAAAAGAAUUAUUUUCACAUUUAUAACCUACUAAGAAUAAUAUAUUAACUUGAGCUAAAAUUAUGGCAAGUAUUGUGGGAUGACUCCUCUAAGGUGAAAAAGACACACUUAGGUUAAAGUACAGUAACGAUGGUAAAUUGCAAAUGAUUUUGAAGUUGCCAAUUUUUUGCUUCUAACUGCUGAUAAAUUUGGUCUCUAUUAUAAACGGUUGACUUUUGACUUUCUUUGAUCAGUUUUGUCUCAAUUUUAGUUUAGUUAGUUAAAGUUAGAAUUGAUUGACUCUUUAUCUGCACGUUACUUUCAUCUUAAAUUGAAGAGUUUAAGUUUUGAAAUUAUUUGAUUUAUCAAAAAAACUCCACAAAAAUACCAAUACUAAGUCAAAACUUCAAAAUAACGUAAUAUUUGCUAGAAAAUUUCAAGAGCUGUUUUUAUCAUAUAUUUAAACAAUUAAUUUUAAUUUGAUCAUUUUAUCUUUAAAUAACAUGAUUUUAGAAAACUUAUCAUGCUUACAUCAUGUGCAUAAUUGAUAAUCUCAUCAUGCAGUCAUGCAGUUGAAAAAGCAGGUCUAAUUGUAGUUACAUGUACAGUGAUAAAUGACCAAAUCUUAUUCUCAUUCAUUUGGUUCUAUUGAUGGACAUUUCAUUUCCUUAAAAGAGUUUAACAAUAUUUAUCCAUAGUUUUAUUCAUACUUUAGAUUUUACUCUUUCAUUACAUAAUUUGGUUUCACUACAUUCUAAAUAAUGACGUCCUAACAUUGUGCUAAAUCAUAGGACUUUUUGAGAAAUUUAUUGCAUGUAAUGUUAAUAAUCAAACCAUUAGAGCAAAAGUUCAACAUCUUGAUAUUUUAAUUGAGCACAUAAAUAUAAUGUUUAAUAUAUUUGUUGGUUUCUAGUCAGUUUUAUUUAAAAUAGUCUUCGAUUUUUGAUAUAAUGUCUCCGUGAAUUAUGAGUGAAUGAAUGAAAUGUAACUUUUUCACGUAUGUAACAACUUAAACCAAGGUUGAUGUGGAUAUGUGGAAUUUUAAAGUGGUUUCUAUGAUGAGGGCAUUUGACUUUGUUGUUGAAGUGGAGGUGCAGAAGUUAGAUCACAUAGGUAGAAAAUGAAAGUCUUAUUAAAUGCACUUGUGUUAAACGUACUAAAAGUUACAAACAUUGUUGUUCCAAAAGUAUAUAUUAAAAAAAUAUCUCACUAAAUAGGAAAAGUCUUACAUAGACUAAAAACGAAGUUUUCAUCCAACAAUGAAACACUUAUGAAUUGUUAGGUAUCUCUAAUAUAAUGCUUAAACAAUCAAAUACUGCUUAGAAGUGAAAUUAUGAAAUGCUUAUAGUUGCUCUAAACACAUAUUAAAUGACAAAACUGAUAAGAUAAGAAAAGGAACAUAUCUACUUACAUCCAUAUCUACUCAUAUUUAGAUACAUCCAUAUCUAUUCUACUAUAUAGAGAUUAUCUAUGUGAAAUAUCUACAUUCAAAUUAGAAUUAGAAGUAGACAUUAGAAACAAAUAAAACAUUCACAUAAUGUUGUCUCUAUCAAAAGUUUUUACAACCUACUUAUAUGUUCUGACAAUUUAGUUAACUUUAGGAGAGAUAUAAACUUUUAAGAAUUACAUAAAUUUGAAUUAAAUAUAGAAAGUUUAUUUGUGCAUAUAUAUAUAUAUAUAUAUAUAUAUAUAUAUAUAUAUAUAUAUAUAUAUAUAUAUAUUGAAUAAAUGUUUGUUGUUUGAAAUCUUAGACUUGUAAUCAUUACUAAAAAAUGUCCACUUGCUUCGAAUUUCCCAACAGAUUAUGUUAUUAUCCUAAUCGCACUCUUCGUUUAUUCUAGUUAUGCAGCUUAGUUUGCAGAUACAAUAACAAAGCACUUGAAAACAAGAAAUUGAAUAUGAAAAAACAAACCCUGCUUCAAAGUAGUACAUAAUAAUGCUAUAGCUUGAAAACCUAUAUAGGGUUACUAGGCUUGAGUGGGUGGAAGGUCUUUGUCUAGGGCUUCUGCGGAGAAAUCUCCAGGCUGUGGAACUUGCUCAUGAGGCAUUCCUUUUGGUUUGCUUCCUUCUUUCUCAUUCAUCUCUUCGUUCCUUCUCACAACUCUUUCUGUUUCUGUUUCUGUUUCUGGGUCAUCAUCAUCAACUACACCUUUCACCUCUUUACCACCGCAUGCCAAUGGCUUUGCCGGCUUCUCCGUCUUCUUCUUCAUUUUCAUCGAUGUUGCAGAAACACCCAAAAGAGAAAACUGUUUUAUUACUCUCUUAUCACUCGGCUGUUGCUUACGUCAACUCAACCGAUUAAGGCUUUGCAUACACGUGGCUACCACCAUGAACUCAGUUACGAACGUCCUUACACCUGGAUAUAUAAUGCUAAAAUACAUGUUAAUUUCUUGUCCUGCGG
RNAcentral lists this long non-coding RNA (9600 nucleotides) under Vigna radiata. RNAcentral's name for it is "long non-coding RNA (VRAD_LNC006409)". Lineage: Eukaryota; Viridiplantae; Streptophyta; Magnoliopsida; Fabales; Fabaceae. The record is from RNAcentral.